RNAcentral lists this ribosomal RNA (254 nucleotides) under uncultured bacterium. RNAcentral's name for it is "partial 16S ribosomal RNA". It matches the Rfam family "Bacterial small subunit ribosomal RNA", at positions 524 to 776 of the family's 1533-position model. The record is from RNAcentral.
UACGAAGGGGGCUAGCGUUGUUCGGAAUUACUGGGCGUAAAGCGCGCGCAGGCGGUUUUUCAAGUCAGUGGUGAAAGCCCGGAGCUCAACUCCGGAACUGGCAUUGAAUACUAUCUCGCUAGAGAGUCGGAGGGGGGACUGGAAUACUUGGUGUAGCAGUGAAAUGCGUAGAUAUCAAGUGGAACACCAGUGGCGAAGGCGAGUCCCUGGACGACUUCUGACACUGAGGCACGAAAGCUAGGGGAGCAAACAGG